This 1000-nucleotide long non-coding RNA is filed under the name Apteryx rowi (Okarito brown kiwi). RNAcentral describes it as "lncRNA (ENSARWG00000018616.1)". Lineage: Eukaryota; Metazoa; Chordata; Aves; Apterygiformes; Apterygidae. The record is from RNAcentral.
CUUGGCUCUCUGGGCUAGAAACAUCUCUGCUGGGGCUGCUUGAACAUUUCCCUUAGGAACAAUUCUCUAGGGGAAAUAGGUUUUUUUGGCUAAAAGUACCCCUCUCCCUUUUUUUUUUUAAAGGCAGCAUCUCAUUUGCAUGGAAACCUACAUUUUAUUCAUAAAAACAUCUCAGCUCUUCCCGAAGCUUUUGCAAUUGGUUUGAUGAAACAUUGGAAAUUACCUGCAAGACUCAACUUGACUAGCUCUGCUCUCUAGUGACACAGCCAGGCGUUUCUCUUCCAUUUGGGCAAGAAACAGUCUUUUUCACAUCAUUCCUGCUCGCUCAUUGCCAGGUGCAGAAGCAGCAGGACAAGGCAGCAAGUAAAGUAAAAGUAAAGCGGCAGGGGAGGGGCGGGGAGGAAACCAGCACUUUCAGUCUUGAAAGUAGUUUCAGUUUAAGCAGUGGACAGAGUUGCAGGUUAGCUGUUGUUUUUAACCCCUCCUUGAACGACCGGAAAGAAGGGUGAUGCCUUAGGCAAGCGGAGCCGCGGAGGUGCCGGUGAAAGGAAUCGUCUGCACCGAAACCGUCCCCRGUGAGGCUGUCAGCCUUCCAAGAACGACGAUCAUACGCGCAGCUCUUGCUGAUACGUGCUCGCAGCCACUCACCUUGUUUAUCAGGACAAACAUAUGUUGUACCCACACAACGCUGCUGCUAUGGCACCUAAGGCUGAGAUUUCUCUACCUGAUGAGGCCGACGGGGAAAUACCCAAGAAGAAUGCAUACGAAUAAAGACAGGAGUCAAGAGGGUUUCUAAGCAGACUUUUUCAAAGAAAACGCUAAGGAAAUCCUGAACAGGGGAUAUCCCCACCUGAAAAUCUAGAGCUGCUGAAGGGUUUGUUUCUUCUUUUUUUUCUUUUAUACAGGUAUUUCUCCCCCCACUUCCCACAAAAUACUUUUUAUGAUUUUUCUUGACUUAAUUCAGUGGUGAUGUGAUAGUGCAUGGAAGACCUAAUACACG